GUGUAGCUAUUCUUAGUGUGUCCC
This 24-nucleotide non-coding RNA is filed under the name Arabidopsis thaliana (thale cress). The record is from RNAcentral. Lineage: Eukaryota; Viridiplantae; Streptophyta; Magnoliopsida; Brassicales; Brassicaceae.